This 460-nucleotide ribosomal RNA is filed under the name uncultured bacterium. RNAcentral describes it as "partial 16S ribosomal RNA". It matches the Rfam family "Bacterial small subunit ribosomal RNA", at positions 338 to 795 of the family's 1533-position model. The record is from RNAcentral.
CCUACGGGAGGCUGCAGUGAGGAAUAUUGGUCAAUGGACGAGAGUCUGAACCAGCCAAGUAGCGUGAAGGAUGACUGCCCUAUGGGUUGUAAACUUCUUUUAUAUGGGAAUAAAAUGUUCCACGUGUGGGAUUUUGUAUGUACCAUAUGAAUAAGGAUCGGCUAACUCCGUGCCAGCAGCCGCGGUAAUACGGAGGAGCCGCGCGUUCUCCGGAUUUAUUGGGUUUAAAGGGAGCGUAGGUGGAGUGUUAAGUCAGGUGUUAAAGUUUGCGGCUCAACCGUAACAUUGCAGUUGAAACUGGCAGUCUUGAGUACAGAAGAGGUGGGCGGAAUUCGUGGUGUAGCGGUGAAAUGCUUAGAUAUCACGAAGAACCCCGAUUGCGAAGGCAGUUCACUGGACUGCAACUGACACUGAGGCUCGAAAGUGUGGGUAUCAAACAGGAUUAGAUACCCCAGUAGUC